This 119-nucleotide ribosomal RNA is filed under the name Pteropus alecto (black flying fox). The record is from RNAcentral. Lineage: Eukaryota; Metazoa; Chordata; Mammalia; Chiroptera; Pteropodidae.
GUCUUCAGCCAUGCCACCCUGAACAAGCCCAAUCCCAUCUGAUCUAGGAAGCUAAGCAGAAUCAGGCCUGGUUAGUACUUGGAUGGGAGACUUUCUAGGAAGACCAGGUGCUGUAGGCA